GAAGACUUGCAGAAAGAAGACGUUCGUCAGUCAUCUUGGUGAGCUUCUCCACAGAGCUUGAAAAUGUUCUCAACCAACACAUUUGAUCAGCACAUAAUUCUUGUGGAUGCACAUCAAGUCCUUUUGCAGUUGUAUCUAUCAAAGUGCUAUGCAGACAUAAUGGGAAUGACUCGCAUUGUAGAGCUUGGAGAAAUUCACAUAGGUUCUCAAGAGGAAUUCAUCAAGGACAUGUCUGUUGGCGUUAUAGUUGUGGGUGACCAAAAUGAGCACCAUCAAUCUGCAGUGAUGUGGUCCUGGUAAUAGAAGAACAAAUCUUAUCUGCGGUUGUAACACGUAUGUUUUCAAUAUAGUACACAGCACUUAAUGUAUGUCAUGAUACACAAUGCCACAAUACUAAAAUAAAGCCAAAAUAGUGUUAAAGGGAUA
Long non-coding RNA from Sinocyclocheilus anshuiensis, 426 nucleotides. RefSeq lists it as uncharacterized. The transcript is spliced from 3 exons. NCBI's taxonomy places the organism in Eukaryota, Metazoa, Chordata, Actinopteri, Cypriniformes, Cyprinidae. The record is from RefSeq and is a predicted model, not a curated record.